GAUGAACGCUGGCGGCGUGCCUAAUACAUGCAAGUCGAGCGAACAGACGAGGAGCUUGCUCCUCUGACGUUAGCGGCGGACGGGUGAGUAACACGUGGAUAACCGACCUAUAAGACUGGGAUAACGUCGGGAAACCGGAUCUAAUACCGGAUAAGAUAUUGAACCGCAUGGUUCAAUAGUGAAAGACGGUUUUGCUGUCACUUAUAGAUGGAUCCGCGCCGCAUUAGCUAGUUGGUAGGGUAACGGCUUACCAAGGCGACGAUGCGUAGCCGACCUGAGAGGGUGAUCGGCCACACUGGAACUGAGACACGGUCCAGACUCCUACGGGAGGCAGCAGUAGGGAAUAUUCCGCAAUGGGCGAAAGCCUGACGGAGCCACGCCGCGUGAGUGAUGAAGGUCUUCGGAUCGUAAAGCUCUGUUAGUAGGGAAGAACAAAAGUGUAAGUAAAUAUGCACGUCUUGACGGUACCUAAUCAAAAAGCCACGGCUAACUACGUG
Molecule: ribosomal RNA, 497 nt
Filed under: uncultured bacterium
Lineage: Bacteria
Description: partial 16S ribosomal RNA
Rfam family: Bacterial small subunit ribosomal RNA
Source: RNAcentral